RNAcentral lists this ribosomal RNA (526 nucleotides) under Vanessa cardui. RNAcentral's name for it is "partial 16S ribosomal RNA". The stretch from base 389 to 526 matches the Rfam family "Archaeal large subunit ribosomal RNA", at positions 2542 to 2680 of the family's 2987-position model. The record is from RNAcentral. Lineage: Eukaryota; Metazoa; Arthropoda; Insecta; Lepidoptera; Nymphalidae.
UUUUUGAAAAUAAUUUAAAGUCUAAUCUGCCCACUGAUAUAAUUAUUAAAGGGCUGCAGUAUAUUGACUGUACAAAGGUAGCAUAAUCAUUAGUCUUUUAAUUGAAGACUUGUAUGAAAGAUUUGAUGAAAUAUAAACUGUCUCUAAUUUAUUAAAUAAAAUUUAAUUUUUUAGUUAAAAAGCUAAAAUAAAAUUAAAAGACGAGAAGACCCUAUAGAGUUUUAUAAUUGAAUUAUUUAAUAUUAAAUAUAUAAAUAUUAAAUUAAAAUUAAUUUAAUUAUUUUAUUGGGGUGAUAGAAAAAUUAAAAAAACUUUUUUUAAAUAAUAAACAUAAAUAAGUGAAUAAAUGAUCCAUUAAAUAAUGAUUAUAAGAAAAAAUUACCUUAGGGAUAACAGCGUAAUAUUUUUUUUUAGUACAAAUAAAAAAAAAAGUUUGCGACCUCGAUGUUGGAUUAAGAUAAAAUUUAAAUGCAAAAGUUUAAAAUUUUGAUCUGUUCGAUCAUUAAAAUCUUACAUGAUCUGAGCU